UGCGUAGGCGGUUUGUUAAGUCUGUUGUGAAAUCCCCGGGCUCAACCUGGGAAUGGCAAUGGAUACUGGCAAGCUAGAGUGUGUCAGAGGAUGGUGGAAUUUCCGGUGUAGCGGUGAAAUGCGUAGAGAUCGGAAGGAACAUCAGUGGCGAAGGCGGCCAUCUGGGACAACACUGACGCUGAAGCACGAAAGCGUGGGGAGCAAACA
This 207-nucleotide ribosomal RNA is filed under the name uncultured bacterium. RNAcentral's name for it is "partial 16S ribosomal RNA". It matches the Rfam family "Bacterial small subunit ribosomal RNA", at positions 568 to 774 of the family's 1533-position model. The record is from RNAcentral.